This 433-nucleotide ribosomal RNA is filed under the name uncultured bacterium. Its description in RNAcentral is "partial 16S ribosomal RNA". It matches the Rfam family "Bacterial small subunit ribosomal RNA", at positions 29 to 507 of the family's 1533-position model. The record is from RNAcentral.
AACGAACGCUGGCGGCAUGCCUAACACAUGCAAGUCGAACGAGACCUUCGGGUUUAGUGGCCCACGGGUUCGUCACCCGUUGGAACCUGCCCUUAGGUUCGGAAUAACUCCUCGCAAGGGGUGCUAAUUCCGGAUAAUCUCUUCUGCCCAAAGAUUUAUCGCCUUUGAAUGGUCCCGCUUUUGAUUAGCUAUUUGGUAGGGUAAAAGCCUACCAAGGUGACGUUCCAUAGUUGGUCUGAGAGGAUGAUCAGCCACACUGGUACUGAGACACGGCGCAGACUCCGACGGGAGGCAGCAGUGGGGAAUAGUAGACAAGGGGCGAAAGCCUAAUCCAGGAAUGCCGCGUGAGUGAUGAAGGCCAGAGGAUAGUAAAGCUCAGUUACCCGGGAUGAUAAUGACAGUACCGGGAGAAUAAGCACCGGCUAACUACGUG